CCUACGGUAGGCAGCAGUGAGGAAUAUUGGUCAAUGGACGAGAGUCUGAACCAGCCACGUAGCGUGAAGGAUGACUGCCCUAUGGGUUGUAAACUUCUUUUAUAAAGGAAUAAAACGAGGCACGUGUGCCUUUUUGCAUGUACUUUAUGAAUAAGGAUCGGCUAACUCCGUGCCAGCAGCCGCGGUAAUAUGGAGGAUCCGAGCGUUAUCCGGUUUUAUUGGGUUUAAAGGGAGCGUAGAUGGGUUGUUAAGUCAGUUGUGAAAGUUUGCGGCUCAACCGUAAAAUUGCAAUUGAUACUGGCAGUCUUGAGUACAGUUGAGGUAGGCGGAAUUCGGGGUGUAGCGGUGAAAUGCUUAGAUAUCACGAAGAACCCCGAUUGCGAAGGCAGCUUACUAAACUGUGACUGACAUUGAUGCUCGAAAGUGUGGGUAUCAAACAGGAUUAGAUACCCUGGUAGU
This 459-nucleotide ribosomal RNA is filed under the name uncultured bacterium. Its description in RNAcentral is "partial 16S ribosomal RNA". It matches the Rfam family "Bacterial small subunit ribosomal RNA", at positions 338 to 794 of the family's 1533-position model. The record is from RNAcentral.